Molecule: ribosomal RNA, 232 nt
Filed under: uncultured bacterium
Lineage: Bacteria
Description: partial 16S ribosomal RNA
Rfam family: Bacterial small subunit ribosomal RNA
Source: RNAcentral
CGAACGGGUGAGUAAUAUAUCGGAACGUGCCCAGUAGUGGGGGAUAACUGCUCGAAAGAGCAGCUAAUACCGCAUACGACCUGAGGGUGAAAGGGGGGGAUCGCAAGACCUCUCGCUAUUGGAGCGGCCGAUAUCAGAUUAGCUAGUUGGUGGGGUAAAGGCCUACCAAGGCAACGAUCUGUAGUUGGUCUGAGAGGACGACCAGCCACACUGGGACUGAGACACGGCCCAG